This 253-nucleotide ribosomal RNA is filed under the name uncultured bacterium. RNAcentral's name for it is "partial 16S ribosomal RNA". It matches the Rfam family "Bacterial small subunit ribosomal RNA", at positions 524 to 776 of the family's 1533-position model. The record is from RNAcentral.
CACGUAGGGGACGAGCGUUGUCCGGAUUCAUUGGGCGUAAAGCGCGCGUAGGCGGACCUGCAAGUCGGGGGUGAAAGCCCGAGGCUUAACCUCGGAACUGCCCUCGAUACUGCGGGUCUCGAGUCCGGGAGAGGUGAGUGGAAUUCCUAGUGUAGAGGUGAAAUUCGUAGAUAUUAGGAAGAACACCAGUGGCGAAGGCGGCUCACUGGCCCGGUACUGACGCUGAGGCGCGAAAGCGUGGGGAGCAAACAGG